RNAcentral lists this ribosomal RNA (400 nucleotides) under uncultured bacterium. RNAcentral's name for it is "bacterial SSU rRNA". It matches the Rfam family "Bacterial small subunit ribosomal RNA", at positions 355 to 753 of the family's 1533-position model. The record is from RNAcentral.
UAAGGAAUAUUGGUCAAUGGUCGGAAGACUGAACCAGCCACGCCGCGUGCAGGAUGACGGUCCUCUGGAUUGUAAACUGCUUUUGCCGAGGGAUAAAAGCGGGCUAUAUGCCUUUUUGAAGGUACUCGGUGAAUAAGCCACGGCUAACUACGUGCCAGCAGCCGCGGUAAUACGUAGGUGGCAAGCGUUGUCCGGAUUUAUUGGGUUUAAAGGGUGCGUAGGCUGUUAAUUAAGUCAGUCGUUAAAGGCAGCAGCUUAACUGUUGUAAGGCGAUUGAUACUGAUUGACUUGAAUUCGUUAGAGGUAGCUGGAAUACGUAGUGUAGAGGUGAAAUUCAUAGAUAUUACGUAGAACACCGAUUGCGGAGGCAUGUUACUAUAACGAAAUUGACGCUGAGGCA